This 282-nucleotide long non-coding RNA is filed under the name Monodelphis domestica (gray short-tailed opossum). RNAcentral's name for it is "lncRNA (ENSMODG00000046769.1)". The record is from RNAcentral. Lineage: Eukaryota; Metazoa; Chordata; Mammalia; Didelphimorphia; Didelphidae.
AGAAACCUAAUUUCUUCAAAGACUUUCAUUCCAUGAACUAUUGAGAUACUGGACUCAAAUCGAUCAGGAAAAAGAGGUCUAGAGAAGCAACGAAAAUUUCACAGGGAAGAAGCAAGAGGGAGAAGCUGGAGUCCUUUAAAUACUGUACAAUUUCUGGAAGAUUAUUUAGUAUAUUCUCCUAUUAAAUUCUGGUAAGCAGAUCCACUUACAAUAUGGAUCCAUUAUUGAUGAAAUAAUUGAUUAGCUCUAUAAGUUCCACCCAACUCUUUAUAAUAUUAUGAG